RNAcentral lists this ribosomal RNA (352 nucleotides) under Atomaria sp. BYU CO145. RNAcentral's name for it is "partial 12S ribosomal RNA". Lineage: Eukaryota; Metazoa; Arthropoda; Insecta; Coleoptera; Cryptophagidae. The record is from RNAcentral.
UUUAAAUGUAAAUUAUUAGUACUAAAUUAGUGUUAGUUAUGGUCUUUAAAAUUAAAGAAUUUGGCGGUAUUUUAGUCUAUUCAGAGGAACCUGUUUUAUAAUUGAUAUUCCACAAUUUAAAUUACUUACUUUAUUAAUUUAUAUAUCGUCGUAGUUUGAAUAUUUUUUAAGAAUAUUAAUAUUCAAGAUUUUUAAUAAUAGAAUAAAUCAGAUCAAGGUGUAGUUUAUAAGUAAGAAAAAAUGGGUUACAAUAAAUUUAUUUAUAUGGAUAUGAAAUUUAAAAUUUUAUUGAAAGUGGAUUUGAAGGUAAAUUUAAUUAAUUAAUUAAAUUGAUUUUAGCUCUAAAAUAUGU